GAGUUUGAUCCUGGCUCAGGAUGAACGCUGGCGGCGUGCCUAAUACAUGCAAGUCGAGCGAACAGAUAAGGAGCUUGCUCCUUUGACGUUAGCGGCGGACGGGUGAGUAACACGUGGGUAACCUACCUAUAAGACUGGAAUAACUCCGGGAAACCGGGGCUAAUGCCGGAUAAUAUUUAGAACCGCAUGGUUCUAAAGUGAAAGAUGGUUUUACUAUCACUUAUAGAUGGACCCGCGCCGUAUUAGCUAGUUGGUGGGGUAAUGGCUUACCAAGGCAACGAUACGUAGCCGACCUGAGAGGGUGAUCGGCCACACUGGAACUGAGACACGGUCCAGACUCCUACGGGAGGCAGCAGUAGGGAAUCUUCCGCAAUGGGCGAAAGCCUGACGGAGCAACGCCGCGUGAGUGAUGAAGGUCUUCGGAUCGUAAAACUCUGUUAUUAGGGAAGAACAAAUGUGUAAGUAACUGUGCACGUCUUGACGGUACCUAAUCAGAAAGCCAC
This 503-nucleotide ribosomal RNA is filed under the name uncultured bacterium. RNAcentral's name for it is "bacterial SSU rRNA". It matches the Rfam family "Bacterial small subunit ribosomal RNA", at positions 9 to 494 of the family's 1533-position model. The record is from RNAcentral.